This 253-nucleotide ribosomal RNA is filed under the name uncultured bacterium. RNAcentral describes it as "partial 16S ribosomal RNA". It matches the Rfam family "Bacterial small subunit ribosomal RNA", at positions 524 to 776 of the family's 1533-position model. The record is from RNAcentral.
UACGGAGGGGGCUAGCGUUGUUCGGAAUUACUGGGCGUAAAGCGUGCGCAGGCGGUUUUGUAAGCCCGAUGUGAAAGCCCCGGGCUUAACCUGGGAAUGGCAUUUGGGACUGCAAGGCUUGAGUGCGGCAGAGGAGACUGGAAUUCCUGGUGUAGCAGUGAAAUGCGUAGAUAUCAGGAGGAAUACCGAUGGCGAAGGCAGGUCUCUGGGCUGACACUGACGCUCAUGCACGAAAGCGUGGGGAGCAAACAGG